This 595-nucleotide long non-coding RNA is filed under the name Solanum tuberosum (potato). Its description in RNAcentral is "long non-coding RNA (STUB_LNC010977)". Lineage: Eukaryota; Viridiplantae; Streptophyta; Magnoliopsida; Solanales; Solanaceae. The record is from RNAcentral.
AAAUUGCCACUACAUAUGUGUUUUUAGUGGUAAUUAAUACUUUUUGUAAAUGUAUCUACAGUCUAUAGCGAUAAUGGAUCCAAUGAAAUUAACUAAUGCCGGUAAAAGCUUUAGUAUUCUUUAUUAAUAUGUAUAUUGCCGCUAAAAGUUAUCUUUGUUGUAGUGAAAGUUGGUUUAAAAAAGAACUUAGUUUGUUAUAACAAGAUGUUGUUACUGUUAUAUAGAGAGGUACUAUGAUUGUUGAGAAUUUUAAAGUUAUAUUGUUCCUAAAUUGAAAAUAUAAUGUCUUUUUUACGGCAUAUUCAAAAAAUUGGUUGUUAUAAUAAGAUGUUGUUACAGUUAUAUAGAGAGGUACUAUGAUUGUUGAGAAUUUUAAAGUUAUAUUGUUCCUAAAUUGAAAAUAUAAUGUCUUUUUUACGGCAUAUUCAAAAAAUUGGUUGUUAUAAUAAGAUGUUGUUACAGUUAUAUAGAGAGGUACUAUGAUUGUUGAGAAUUUUAAAAUUUUAUUGUUUCUAAAUUAGAAAUAAAACGUCUUUUUUAGAUAUGUUAAAAAAUGCGUCAUAUAAAUUGAGAUGAUGAAUUUUUCAAGAACCUG